RNAcentral lists this unclassified non-coding RNA (227 nucleotides) under uncultured Pseudomonadota bacterium. Its description in RNAcentral is "uncultured proteobacterium contains 16S-23S intergenic spacer region". Lineage: Bacteria; Pseudomonadati; Pseudomonadota. The record is from RNAcentral.
UCCGGCUUAACGCCGGCAGUCUACCUAGAGUGCCCAACUGAAUGGUGGCAACUAAGUACGAGGGUUGCGCUCGUUGCGGGACUUAACCCAACACCUCACGGCACGAGCUGACGACAGCCAUGCAGCACCUGUCUCUCGGUUCCCUUGCGGGCACCCCGCCAUCUCUGGCAGCUUCCGAGGAUGUCAAGACCAGGUAAGGUUCUGCGCGUUGCAUCGAAUUAAGCCAC